RNAcentral lists this long non-coding RNA (6664 nucleotides) under Triticum aestivum (bread wheat). Its description in RNAcentral is "long non-coding RNA (TAES_LNC018457)". Lineage: Eukaryota; Viridiplantae; Streptophyta; Magnoliopsida; Poales; Poaceae. The record is from RNAcentral.
GGAGACCGCCGACGACCAGGAGUAGUUAGGAGGUCCAAGGCAGGAGGCCUUGCCUCUUCGAUCGUUGUUGCUUUUGUGCUAGCCUUCUUAAGGCAUCCUUGUUUAACUUAUGUCUGUACUCAGAUAUUGUUGCUUCCGCUGACUCUUGUGUAUCGAGCUUGUAUUCGAGCCCUCGAGGCCCUGGCUUGUAAUAUAAAGCUUGUAUUAUUUUAUUUGUGUCUAGAGUUGUGUUGUGAUAUCUUCCCGUGAGUCCCUGAUCUUGAUCAUACACAUUUGCGUGUAUGAUUAGUGUGCGGUAGAAUCGGGGGCGUCACAAGUUGGUAUCAGAGCCGACUGCCUGUAGGAACCCCCCUUUCCAACUCCUUGGCCGAAGUUGAGUCUAGUCUUUGAAAAACUGAUUUACUAACAUGGUUGUGCGGUUACGGGCCCACGUCGCCAUUGGGUGGUAUUAGGAUCUUUUACUCCUCGUCUAUACUCUGGGGCUCUGAUCUCUCUUCUAUACGGGUUAAAUGAUUUUGCGAACUAUAACCUUAGGAUCUCGUGAUCACAUCCCCCCGGAGAUUUGUAUUACGCCUUUCUUGAAUUGAGGGCCAAGUUCUACUUGACAAUGUUCAGUGACGGCAGGAUCCUCAUAUCGAGGGCACCCUGCAUCGUCACUUGCAAACCCUCACUCCAGAGGUUUUCCCCAACGCUGAUGUAGUCUUUGCUAUGUCUCAUUGUUGCAUCCCUACAUCGCGUGCAUGCGUGCCGCCUAGUAUGUCUAUGAUGUUUCUCUUGUGUGAACUCAUAUGAACAUCGUGUAAUUGGCCCCGCAUAUGUAAUGGUGUGUCUUCAAUGACUACUGCUUUGUACAUACUGCGCCUUUGCUAACUAUUCAAUUUACAUCAUGGAUGACUCCAUAGACUUGCUCCACCCCUCGCUGAACUGCCCCAUGUUGCAUUUAAGCAGGAUGGGUAGACCCGCUUGUCGUGGCCGUGGUGGCAACAGUCCACCACCUCCUGAAUACAUGGCCGGAAUGAUACGACAGUUUGAUGCUGAAUCGUCAGUUCAUGGAAGGAGUCAUGGCUCAGUUUCCGUAUCUCAUUAUGAAUCAGCAACCCGCCCCAGUGACUCUACAAGACUUUGUGCGUCUCAACCCUGUCAUCUACUACAGCUCAACUUAGCCCCUUCAUGCUGACAACUGGCUUUGUGACAUCACUUUCGAGCUGGCGUCUGCUGAUGUAUCCCCUUCCAACUAUGUCACCUUCGUGGCUUAUUACCUGAAAGGUCCCGCUGCUUAAUGGUGGGACAGCCACAAUCGUUCCUUACCUGUUGGAACCACCAUCACUUGGCCGGAAUUCCAAGCUACCUUCUGCGGGCCAAUGUCGAACCAUCAUGGUUAGUCGUAACGUUCCCGUUGAGCUUGAAGGGUUGGAAUUCCUUGUUUCCCCAUUAUUUUGAAGUCAUCCAGUAUUGAGCUCAUUCUGGAAAUGGAAUGGUUGGAAGCACAUACUGCUUCUAUCAUUUGCGCCACUAAAACCAUCCAUCUACUACAUCCAUCAAAGGAGAUAGUAAGCCACCAUGCUCAUCUUCUUCGAAAUGCCGAAUCACGGAUUUAUUCCUUGAAUGCAUUAAACACUUCUCCUCUUGCGAGAAUUGAAAAUGCUCCAGCCGUUUGUAAAUUCGAAGAUGCCAUUCCAAAAGAACUACCUAGUCCAUGACCUUGGACUUGAGGCAGUUAAAUUAGCACUAAAGUUGUGGCAGCAUUUUCUUUUUGGUAAUCGUUGCGAGAUCUACACUGAUCAUCAAAGUCUGAAGUAUUUGUUUACUCAGUUGGAUUUGGAUCCCCGAAAGCAGCGAUGUUUGGAAACAAUCACAUACCGUGACUACGUAUUUUUAUACCCCUGCCAGGUUGUUAUCAUGGCCGAUGCCCUGUGUUGCAAGUCUUAUUGCAACAACCACUUAGCUUCUAUUGCUCACCCCUGCAAGAUGAUCUCACUUACAGAGAGCAUCCGAUCGGCAUUCUCGAUCAAGUUGGACGUCGCACCCGUCAAAGGACUAUCAAAUUUCUAAAAGUUCAGUGGUCAAAUCCUUCUGAAGAUGAAGCAACAUGGGAACGCGAGGAUCGUCUCCAUGAUGAAUACCCCGCUUUGUUUCCGUCUACCUCCAAAAUCUCGGGACGAGAUUUCUUGUAGUGGAGGAGAAUUGUCACGCCUGGAUAAUUAAGCUACAGUAAACCCCUGCUAAUGAUGCCAGAUCAUCACAUUACUGUUGCUAAUCCUCGCUUGAUCCAAAUCUUAGUUCAAACUCAAAUUUAAAUUAAAGCCCAGAAUUCAAAUUCCUCAAACAUGCAAUUAUAAAUGUUCAAAGUGUGGCAAAUAUUCCAUAAUCAAUUAUGGUGCUGACCUAACACUUUUGUAAAGUAUUUAGAUGCCCUUUCUGAAUAUAACAGUGACUAAAACAACCACAUUAGUCUUAUUACUUUUGUUAAAAAAAUCAAAUGAAUUCAAUUAUUACCCCAACCAUUUUUGGCAGUGUAUAAAUAUGCAAUGCUAAUUAUGGACCAAGUUCUAUGUUUUAUAAAACUACUUUACUACUAAAAAUAAAAGCAAAGCAGAAAAGAAAAUAGUAAAAACAAAGAAAAUAAAAGGAAUAAAAAGCCCCCUCCCCCUCACUGCCCUGGGCCUCAGUCCACAGUGGCAGGCCUCAGCCCAGCCGCCCAACCCCCACCCUCGGUCGCCUUCUACUGCUCGACCGACCGCUCGGUCGCGGUCGCUACCCGACCGGCUCGCCGGCGUCGUCGGCGAGGGGAUAAGAUCCCCCGACACCUCGACCCCCUCNNNNNNNNNNNNNNNNNNNNNNNNNNNNNNNNNNNNNNNNNNNNNNNNNNNNNNNNNNNNNNNNNNNNNNNNNNNNNNNNNNNNNNNNNNNNNNNNNNNNNNNNNNNNNNNNNNNNNNNNNNNNNNNNNNNNNNNNNNNNNNNNNNNNNNNNNNNNNNNNNNNNNNNNNNNNNNNNNNNNNNNNNNNNNNNNNNNNNNNNNNNNNNNNNNNNNNNNNNNNNNNNNNNNNNNNNNNNNNNNNNNNNNNNNNNNNNNNNNNNNNNNNNNNNNNNNNNNNNNNNNNNNNNNNNNNNNNNNNNNNNNNNNNNNNNNCUCGGCGCCCCCUUCCCAAAUCCACUCCUCCCUUUCCCCUCGCUCUUCUCCACCCAAGCGCCUCCUGUCGCCGCCGCCGUCGUCCGCCGCAGCGACCAUCGCUCCCCGUCCUGCACGAUGCGUCUCGGAGCUUCACAUGCCUCGACUCUGUCCCCUGCAUCGACCCACUGUUGCUGGGGAGGCACCACGUCUUCGGCUCCAAGCUCGCCUCCCCGACGGCCACCGCCCCUUCCUGUCUACGUCGAGCCCUGCGCUACUAAGCCCCCGAGGGACCUCCGUGCGUCCACACGGCGAGCACCACCCGCUCCCCCUUUCCCUCGUCGCCAUAGCACCGCUACCUGCGAGCUUCGGCUCCGCAAUCCGCCGUGGCCGGAGCUCUCCUCCCGCGCGCGCUCGCACGUCGUCCGCUCCGCCCCCGCACCUCGAUUGCCGCACAUCCUGCGCGCCUAUGGCCCCUUCCCCGCGACCCAUGCGCCCGCUCCCCGCACGUCACUGUCUGCGCCUGGCGACCUCCUUCUGGCCAACUGCGCCCUGCGCACGCCCGCCCGCGGGUAGCUACGACCACGCUACACCGUCGCCGCCCCACGUCCCGCCCGCGUCGGCCGCCCGACACUCACGCCCGCGCGCACCGGCCCCUGCUUCUACCCGCCUCCGUAGCCGCCCUGUGGCCUCCCGCUGCUGCAGCCCCGCCCCGGCUCGCUCCCCUACCCGCGUCCGCUCCCCGUGCACUGUCGCGCUGCUCCCGCCCUGGCUCGCUAGCCCUGCCGUGCGCUCGGCCUUGCCCCGCCCGAGUUCGUUGCCGGCGUCAGGCCACGGCCUCGCCCCGCACCUGUGCGGGCUGUCGGCGCCCCGCCGUGCCCUGGUGGCCAUCGCCGGCCACGGCCUCGCCCGUGUGUUCGGGCGGGCGCCCACGCCCACGCCCUCUUGCCCGAUAGCCAGCGCCCGCUAUGGCCUCUGGCCCAAUGCCAGGUGGGCCCCAGCCCUGUAAAAAAAAGUAAAACAAAAAUAAAUAUUAAUAAAAUUAAUUAAUUAAUUAGUUAGUUAAAUGAUUAAUUAACUUAAUUAAUUAAUCUUAGGUAAACUAAUGAACUAGAUUAGUUAAUUUAAUCAGUAGUUAGGUAAAUGUGUGUAUGACAGGGGGGCCCACCCCCUCUUGACCUGUCAAACGUUGACUGGUCAACUGGGACCCCCUGAACCCGCUUGUCACCCUCUGGUGCACCUCUAUGUACACAGAUCUGGGUGCACAUACCAUUUAGCUAUUUAUUUCGAAUUAAUAGUAAAUUCAGGAAAUUGCUUAAACCUUUGAAAAAUCAUAGAAAAUAAUUCGUACCUCGGAUGAAAAAGUUUUAUACAUGAAAGUUGCUCUGAAAAAUGUGACGAGUCCGAAUACGCAGUCCGUUCAUCUGUCACACAUCCCUAGCAUAGCGAACAUGCAACCUUUCCCCUUCGUUUCAUCUGUCCGAAAAUGCCUAACUCCGGGAAAACUUUUCGGACGUUAUCCCCCGUCGCCGGUACCGUGUAACUCCGCGUUAGAACACCCCUAGCGCUGCUUGUUGGCUUGUCAUGUUUAGUAUUCCACUUGUUUGCUCUGUAUUUACUGUGUUUUCCCCCUCUUCUCUCCGGUAGACCCCGAGACCGCUGCUGAUGCACCUGUGAUCGACUACGUCGACGACGACCCUUCUCCCCUUUCAGCGAAGCUUCCAGGCAAGCCCCCCCUUUGAUCAUCCCGGUAUCGCCCGUUCCAUUCUCUCAUGCUUGCAUUAGAUUUUGCUACUGUUAUUGAUUGCUCCUAUUCUGAUGCAUAGCCUGCUUUUGUACCUGCUAUUGUUACCUACCUGCUUAUCCUAAACUGCUUAGUAUAGGUUGGAUAGUGAUCCAUCAGUGACCUCCACCUUGUCCUUGUUGCCCCUGCUUCAUCUUCGACGACUCGAUCAACGUGAUCGAUGACCAGAGCCUGACACCUCACCUCACAUCACACCCCUUUAGUUGCUCGACUCUGCAGAGCUACUAUCGAGUGUCGAGGUUGAUCCCUCAUAACGCACUCCUGAUAAUAAUUCUGUAGUGUAGCUAUUCAGUCGUGGUCAUCGAGGGUGAUUUCCUCUUUCACCAUUCCCGAUACGGCUCUGUCGUGCAACACCUCAAUUGUGAACCUCGAGGGUGGUCCAUCUUACGUUCACCUUGAUGAUUACAUUGAGUGGAAUCCACCGGGGGUGAUUCCUCGGGUUUUCCCCUUGAUGUCUGGACACACGGUUACCUUGACUUUACUUGAGACAUUGAAGAAAGUCAGGCGGGCCCGGAGAGCACCCGAGGAGUUGUUACGGUGGCGGCUGGCUGUUUAGCGGUAUCAUCCGGAAGGGGGUGAUCCCGACAUCCGUCACUUCUUUUAAUAAUGCACUAACAGGUUUGGUUAUUUGUUCUGAGUUUGCCUUUGGCCUUUACACACUAACCACCACGCGAGAAUAGUUAUGGGCAUCGACAUCGCAGUAUCAGCCGAAUAUUUGUCAGACGUCCAUUUCAGCAUUGUCGCACGGUCGGAUCGUGCUGGCCAUCCGAGGCGGUGCUGGUAUCCACCCAGCACACAACGACCUGGAGUGCUGCGGGCGAUGGGCCCAAGACCCCGGAGUGCUUAGGAUGUAGACCGGCGGGGACCUCUCUGCUGAGCCUAGGUAGGGCUGCGACAUGUUGAUCUUUCGAGGCCGGGCAUUGACCCCAGAAAGGUGUGUCCGGCCAGAGUGAUUGAGCGUGUUGGGUAACGUAGUGCACCCCUGUAGGGAAGAUAUAUAUUCGAAUACCGUGUCCAUGGUAAUGGACGUUCAGACUUAUAUCCUGAUCUUAUAUAACUAGAAAUGGAUACUUGAGAUAUGUGAUGGAUAUGUGGCUCCGAGAUUGCUUUCUCGCAGGGAGUCGAGGAAGGAUCUCUAGGCGUUGGUUCUACAACAUGUUUGUUAAAUAUUAAACUGCUAUUCUUUACUCUUCUACAUGCUGCAAGAUGCUUGGAGUUGCUUGAAGAUGCUAGUCUUUGAUAGGCUAGGCCUUCCCCCUCUAUUCUGGCAUUAUGUAGUUCAGUCCAUAGAUACAAACCUUCCAUUUGAUACCAAUGCAUACUUAGUAUAGAUCUGAUGCUUGCGAGUACUUUGGAUGAGUACUCACGGUUGCUUUGCUACCCCUUUUCUCCCUACUUUCUUCUUUCCGGUUGAUGCAACCAGAUGGCGGAUCCCUGGAGCCAGAUGCCACCGCUGACGGAUACUACUACGUGGAGACCGCUGACGACCAGGAGUAGUUAGGAGGUCCCAGGCAGGAGGCCUUGCCUCUUCGAUCGUUGUUGCUUUUGUGCUAGCCUUCUUAAGGCAUCCUUGUUUAACUUAUGUCUGUACUCAGAUAUUGUUGCUUCCGCUGACUCUUGUGUAUCGAGCUUGUAUUCGAGCCCUCGAGGCCCCUGGCUUGUAAUAUAAAGCUUGUAUUAUUUUAUUUAUGUCUAGAGUUGUGUUGUGAUAUCUUCCCGUGAGUCCCUGAUCUUGAUCGUACACAUUUGC